This 373-nucleotide unclassified non-coding RNA is filed under the name Hevea brasiliensis (rubber tree). The record is from RNAcentral. Lineage: Eukaryota; Viridiplantae; Streptophyta; Magnoliopsida; Malpighiales; Euphorbiaceae.
AAAAAAUACUGCAGUAUUUUUAUUACGAUUGCGAAAGAAAGCAAGACCCGCACCUAUCAUUUUGCUUUCUUCGUCUCUUCAUUGUCAUCUUCUCUUUUGAGUCCUUCGAAAUUCAAAGCAAUUUGGGUGUAAAUGGUGUCGUUUACACGCUUAUUUGAUUUGCUUUUCUGUACGAUUAAUCUGGUAUUCUCUACCUUUGCGUUUAUUGCCAUUUUUGUACAUCUAAUCUAACCUUCACGCAACCUUUUUGCUUUUCAAUGCUUCAAUUUUUCUGUCUCUUUCUCCCGAAUUUAGUUUCAUGUCUGCUCAAAUUAUUUCCCUUUUUGGCUCUUAUUGCCUUAUGUUUCUAGAUUUUAUUUUUUCUUGAUUCAUU